RNAcentral lists this ribosomal RNA (401 nucleotides) under Klebsiella pneumoniae. RNAcentral describes it as "partial 23S ribosomal RNA". It matches the Rfam family "Bacterial large subunit ribosomal RNA", at positions 792 to 1191 of the family's 2925-position model. The record is from RNAcentral. Lineage: Bacteria; Pseudomonadati; Pseudomonadota; Gammaproteobacteria; Enterobacterales; Enterobacteriaceae.
AAAAGCUAGCGGAUGACCUGUGGAUCGGAGUGAAAGGCUAAUCAAGCUCGGAGAUAGCUGGUUCUCCUCGAAAGCUAUUUAGGUAGCGCCUCGUGUAUCACUGCUGGGGGUAGAGCACUGUUUCGGCUAGGGGGUCAUCCCGACUUACCAAACCGAUGCAAACUCCGAAUACCAGCAAGUGUCAGCACGGGAGACACACGGCGGGUGCUAACGUCCGUCGUGAAAAGGGAAACAACCCAGACCGUCAGCUAAGGUCCCAAAAUCCUGGUUAAGUGGGAAACGAUGUGGGAAGGCUUAGACAGCUAGGAGGUUGGCUUAGAAGCAGCCACCCUUUAAAGAAAGCGUAAUAGCUCACUGGUCGAGUCGGCCUGCGCGGAAGAUGUAACGGGGCUCAAACCAGG